GCUUUGCUUUGGAGACGGCCGAGGGAGGUUGUGAGUCCCGCUAGAUUCCUACCGGACCCGAGGACCUGGAGUGCCAUGAGUCAGGCCCUGGGCUAGACGACCCGCAUCCCUCAGACCCCCGUCCCCCUCCACGGGAAGUUCCAGCAGGCCCAGGACCUUUCUGCCUUGCCCAGCUGGAUCCCCCGCAUCUGGCCCCGUUCCUGUCACAGAGAAGACCCCAGAGGUUGCAAAUAAACAUUUGCUGGGUGAAGAAAACAAAUCCUUACAUUUACAGAUAGUAAGAGCAGGGUCACACACCAUAUCCAUCACUGAAGAAGGACCACAGUCAAAACAUGACAUUUAUCAACCAGCUACUAUAUGCAAGGUCCUGGGUGCCGGCUCGUUUCAUGCCCUCUGCACAUCCUGGAGCAGAAUCACAGGUGUUGGAAAAGAAGUCUUUUGAGAGCACAAAGCAACAAGUGAUCCUGAGUCCAGUGACCUCAGGCAUGUGUGUGCCACACACCGGGGCAGUUAGAGGUGGUCCGGGGAGAUUCUCAGAGCCAAGGCCAAGAGUUUCAAGCUUUCUGAGGGUGUGAGUCCACUGGGACCCUCCUGCUAAGUUGGUUUCUUUGCCGCCUUGUGGGUGUUCCCUGCAAAGACUGCUGACACUUGAAGAAUUAAAUAAUUAUAAUAAUGAUGAUAAAAAAGAAAUGGCUUUUCCAGCUGAACAGAAACUGAAGACAAGGAGGUUCCCACACCCGUUGUAUUGUUUUUGGCACUGUACUCCCAAAGCCCCCGGGAGGCAGAUGUCUGGGCUCUCUGAGUCGUGGUCAUGGAAGGGGGCGGGGGAGGCAAUGGGGACCUUUGGAGAAUUUCAGGGGCAUCUGUGGGGACUUCCCGCCCCAAAAAGCCAGGCUGAGAACUGAGCAGGGAAAGGGACUUGUCUUACUCUGUUCGGAAGCCUCAGAAGCUUCAAGAACAAGUCCUGUAAGAGGGACCCUCAAUGUUGUAAACACCCGUGUAGAGGCCACUGCCUGCUAGCAGUUGAGGGGUGCCAGGCCUUCUCCUGAUGGUUUGACCUUAGUACCCCCAGGACAGGAGUGCCCAGAGAAACCUGGAUGCCACGAAUAGGUGGAUCAUGCUAAUAAAACCACAAGGCAGAAGACAAAAAGGAAAAAAAUCAUAUCCACUCAAACACAGAUUCCCUCUCAAUAGACCUAGAGCUGCUUGAAAGCUUCUAGAAAGCAGGGGCAUGUCUGUCCAUCUCUCAAGGGAACACCAGGGGAGGAAGGGACUUGUCAGUGCAAGGAGGAAACAUGCCAGUUGUGCAAUAGGCAUCUCCCUCUAGAAACGUGGUUGACCUUGGGGGGUGGUGAAGGUGAGAGGAAAGAAGGAGAGUGGAGGCUGGAACAUGGCUGUCAGGGCUUGUGGCCUUACCCUAGGCCUGACAGGCCAUACUCACUAAUAUGAAAUCCUCAGGGCAGCCUCUUGAGAUCCACACUAUCUGCAUCCCCCUUUUGCAGAUGGGUAAAUGGAGGCCCAGGAAGUCCCUUCCCUGAAAGUCUGAAGUCAGACAAUGAGGAAGACUGCUGGGUUGGAAGAUGGGUCAGAUGAGCUCAUCAGCCCGGCUGUGACUACUGCCUCCUUUCGUUCUUCGCUUGGAGCUGCGACAGCCUCUCCCCAGACUCACUCAGCUUCCCACCUCAGACCCUUUACACACACUGUUCCCUCUGCCAGGAACUCUGUUCUCUCCCCUCUUUCCUGCCUCCUUCCUCCUCCUCCAGGCUCUCAGCCAGACCACCACUGUGACCCUCUGUUUUUUGGCCUCAUUUACACUAUAUUUUUCCUUCUUAGGAUUGUUCAAAAACUGUAAUUAAAUAAUUAUUUAUGGGGCCAUUUAUUAAAAGUCAGCCUCCCCACUAGAGAACCAGCCUCAGCAGGGAGGGCCUGUGGUCCCUGAUCGUUGCCUCCCCCUUCGGUUUUGGCACACAGUAGGCACACAAUCAAUAAACACAUGUUGAAUA
Long non-coding RNA from Nyctereutes procyonoides (raccoon dog), 2003 nucleotides. RefSeq lists it as uncharacterized. Lineage: Eukaryota; Metazoa; Chordata; Mammalia; Carnivora; Canidae. The record is from RefSeq and is a predicted model, not a curated record. The transcript is spliced from 3 exons.